RNAcentral lists this small RNA (506 nucleotides) under Pan troglodytes (chimpanzee). RNAcentral describes it as "processed transcript". The record is from RNAcentral. Lineage: Eukaryota; Metazoa; Chordata; Mammalia; Primates; Hominidae.
UGUAAUUUCAGUACUUUGAGAGGCUGAAGCAGGAAGAUGACCUGAGCCCAGGAGUUUGAGACCAGUUUGGCCAACAUAGUGAGACCCUAUCUCUACACACACACAUUUUUUUUUUAAUUAGCCAGGUGUGGUGGCUCAUACCUGUAGUCCCAGCAACUCAGGAGGCUGAGUACAUCUCUUCACAUAUUAAAGACUUGAAGAGUGAAAUGUUUGAGGAACUCCUUAAGCACCUUUGCCACUCUGCAGAUGAAUUUCGGGAGGUCAUAAAAGCUGACAUGCGGAGGCAGAUGUUCGCUGAACUCUUCCUACAUUGUGACCACGGGAAGGUAGGGUUUUUGGAUCGGCAGAGGACAUUGGCCCUGCUGGAAUUGUUCUAUGACCAUAGUUCACAAAUGCUUAGGAGUUUACUUCGAAACCCACGACAAUGGCCAUUCAUUGAAUUUGAAGAGAUAAAUUUGACUGAGUUGUGGGGAGACAUGGAUAAUCAGAAACACAUUUAUGAAGGU